Molecule: ribosomal RNA, 598 nt
Filed under: Deshayesorchestia deshayesii
Lineage: Eukaryota; Metazoa; Arthropoda; Malacostraca; Amphipoda; Talitridae
Description: bacterial SSU rRNA
Rfam family: Eukaryotic small subunit ribosomal RNA
Source: RNAcentral
AUCUACUCAGAGUGCUUGGGUGGGGGUGUGUGUCUGGGGUGCCGUGCGCGUGCGUCUCGUGCGUGCGUUCUCGUGUGCUUCAGCACUUCCUCUUUUGCUCACCUCUGUGCUCUUACUCGGAGGGGGUGACUUCUGUGUCACCUUGAGUAAAUCAUGGUGCUCACAGCAGUCGUGCGGGCCCUGUGCCCUGUGAACAGUCUAUGCGGACUGAAUUGGUUUUGCAAGGCAUGACGAAACAUGACGUCGCUGCUGGUCGCGAGUGUGAGGGCGCAGUCCUCGUGGCUGUGCCGAGCGGUUUGCCAGUAGUGACGUAAUGAUCAAUGGAGACGGUAGCUGGCAUUGGUAUUGCGCGGCGAGAGGUGAAAUUCUGCGACCCCCGCAAGACCUCCUAAAGCGAAGGCGUCUGCCAAGGACGUGUUCACCAAUCAUGAACGAAAGUCAGAGGAUCGAAGGCGAUCAGAUACCGCCCUAGUUCUGACCCUAAACGAUGCCAACCAUCAAUCCGCGUGAGCACCCUAUCUAACGGGCUCGGCGGGCAGCUCCCUUCUUCCGGGAAACCAGAGUUUUUGGGUUCCGGGGGGAGUCUGGUUGCAAAGCU